Molecule: ribosomal RNA, 500 nt
Filed under: uncultured bacterium
Lineage: Bacteria
Description: partial 16S ribosomal RNA
Rfam family: Bacterial small subunit ribosomal RNA
Source: RNAcentral
AUUGAACGCUGGCGGCAUGCCUUACAUAUGCAAGUCGAACGGCAGCACGGGAGCAAUCCUGGUGGCGAGUGGCGAACGGGUGAGUAAAGUAUCGGAACGUGCCCAGUCGUGGGGGAUAACGUAGCGAAGGUUACGCUAAUACCGCAUACGAUCUAUGGAUGAAAGCGGGGGAUCGCAAGACCUCGCGCGAUUGGAGCGGCCGAUAUCAGAUUAGGUAGUUGGUGGGGUAAAGGCUCACCAAGCCGACGAUCUGUAGCUGGUCUGAGAGGACGACCAGCCACACUGGGACUGAGACACGGCCCAGACUCCUACGGGAGGCAGCAGUGGGGAAUUUUGGACAAUGGGCGAAAGCCUGAUCCAGCCAUGCCGCGUGCAGGAUGAAGGCCUUCGGGUUGUAAACUGCUUUUGUACGGAACGAAAAGGUUUGGGCUAAUAAGCUGAGCUCAUGACGGUACCGUAAGAAUAAGCACCGGCUAACUACGUGCCAGCCGCCGCCGUAA